Molecule: ribosomal RNA, 497 nt
Filed under: uncultured bacterium
Lineage: Bacteria
Description: partial 16S ribosomal RNA
Rfam family: Bacterial small subunit ribosomal RNA
Source: RNAcentral
GAUGAACGCUGGCGGCGUGCCUAAUACAUGCAAGUCGAGCGAACGGACGAGAAGCUUGCUUCUCUGAUGUUAGCGGCGGACGGGUGAGUAACACGUGGAUAACCUACCUAUAAGACUGGGAUAACUUCGGGAAACCGGAGCUAAUACCGGCUAAUAUUUUGAACCGCAUGGUUCAAAAGUGAAAGACGGUCUUGCUGUCACUUAUAGAUGGAUCCGCGCUGCAUUAGCUAGUUGGUAAGGUAACGGCUUACCAAGGCAACGAUGCAUAGCCGACCUGAGAGGGUGAUCGGCCACACUGGAACUGAGACACGGUCCAGACUCCUACGGGAGGCAGCAGUAGGGAAUCUUGCGCAAUGGGCGAAAGCCUGACGGAGCAACGCCGCGUGAGUGAUAAAGGUCUUCGGAUCGUAAAACUCUGUUAUUAGGGAAGAACAUAUGUGUAAGUAACUGUGCACAUCUUGACGGUACCUAAACAGAAAGCCACGGCUAACUACGUG